ACGCUGGCGGCGUGCUUAACACAUGCAAGUCACGGGGGCUCGUAGCAAUACGAGCAACCGGCGAACGGGUGCGUAACACGUGAGCAAUCUGCCGAUUUCUGGGGGAUAGCCGGCCCAACGGCCGGGUAAUACCACAUACGCUUCAUGAGGGGAGUCCCUCGUGAAGGAAACCUCCGGGGGAAAUCGAGGAGCUCGCGGCCUAUCAGCUAGUUGGCGGGGUAAUGGCCCACCAAGGCUCUGACGGGUAGCUGGUCUGAGAGGAUGGCCAGCCACAUUGGGACUGAGAGACGGCCCAGACUCCUACGGGAGGCAGCAGUGGGGAAUCUUGCGCAAUGGCCGAAAGGCUGACGCAGCGACGCCGCGUGGGGGAUGAAGGUUUUCGGAUCGUAAACCCCUGUUGCCCGGGACGAAACCUGGUUUUCGAGCCAGUUGACGGUACCGGGUGAGGAAGCACCGGCUAACUCCGUGCCAGCAGCCGCGGUAAUACGGAGGGUGCGAGCGUUGUCCGGAAUCACUGGGCGUAAAGGGCGCGUAGGCGGCUGGGGCAGUCGGUGGUGAAAGCUCGUGGCUCAACUGCGAGUCGGCCAUCGAUACUCCUCGGCUCGAGUCGACUAGAGGCAGAUGGAAUUCCGGGUGUAGCGGUGGAAUGCGUAGAGAUCCGGAAGAACACCGGUGGCGAAGGCGGUCUGCUGGGGUCGAACUGACGCUGAUGCGCGACAGCGUGGGGAGCAA
This 732-nucleotide ribosomal RNA is filed under the name uncultured Gemmatimonadota bacterium. RNAcentral's name for it is "bacterial SSU rRNA". It matches the Rfam family "Bacterial small subunit ribosomal RNA", at positions 33 to 771 of the family's 1533-position model. The record is from RNAcentral. Lineage: Bacteria; Pseudomonadati; Gemmatimonadota.